Molecule: ribosomal RNA, 496 nt
Filed under: uncultured bacterium
Lineage: Bacteria
Description: partial 16S ribosomal RNA
Rfam family: Bacterial small subunit ribosomal RNA
Source: RNAcentral
GAUGAACGCUGGCGGCGUGCCUAAUACAUGCAAGUCGAGCGAACGGACGAGAAGCUUGCUUCUCUGAUGUUAGCGGCGGACGGGUGAGUAACACGUGGAUAACCUACCUAUAAGACUGGGAUAUCUUCGGGAAACCGGAGCUAAUACCGGAUGAUAUUUUGAACCGCAUGGUUCAAAAGUGAAAGACGGUCUUGCUGUCACUUAUAGAUGGAUCCGCGCUGCAUUAGCUAGUUGGUAAGGUAACGGCUUACCAAGGCAACGAUGCAUAGCCGACCUGAGAGGGUGAUCGGCCACACUGGAACUGAGACACGGUCCAGACUCCUACGGGAGGCAGCAGUAGGGAAUCUUCCGCAAUGGGCGAAAGCCUGACGGAGCAACGCCGCGUGAGUGAUGAAGGUCUUCGGAUCGUAAAACUCUGUUAUUAGGGAAGAACAUAUGUGUAAGUAACUGUGCACAUCUUGACGGUACCUAAGCAGAAAGCCACGGCUAACUACGU